AUUGAACGCUGGCGGCAUGCUUUACACAUGCAAGUCGAACGGCAGCGCGGGCUUCGGCCUGGCGGCGAGUGGCGAACGGGUGAGUAAUGCAUCGGAACGUGCCCAGUAGUGGGGGAUAGCCCGGCGAAAGCCGGAUUCAUACCGCAUACGACCUGAGGGUGAAAGCGGGGGACCGAAAGGCCUCGCGCUAUUGGAGCGGCCGAUGUCGGAUUAGCUAGUUGGUGGGGUAAAGGCUUACCAAGGCGACGAUCCGUAGCUGGUCUGAGAGGACGACCAGCCACACUGGGACUGAGACACGGCCCAGACUCCUACGGGAGGCAGCAGUGGGGAAUUUUGGACAAUGGGGGCAACCCUGAUCCAGCCAUGCCGCGUGCGGGAAGAAGGCCUUCGGGUUGUAAACCGCUUUUGUUCGGGAAGAAAACCUCUGGGCUAAUACCCCGGGGGGAUGACGGUACCGGAAGAAUAAGCACCGGCUAACUACGUG
Molecule: ribosomal RNA, 484 nt
Filed under: uncultured bacterium
Lineage: Bacteria
Description: partial 16S ribosomal RNA
Rfam family: Bacterial small subunit ribosomal RNA
Source: RNAcentral